CGUGGAGUCUAGGGCAUUUCUCUCCUCCACACUCUCACUCGUCCAGCAUGCUCUCACUGCUGUCUCUCUGCGUGACAGCUGCUCUGCUGCUGCCUCUCUGCUGUGGUACCACAAAUGAUCCUCAACAAGAUGAAAUGACACCAACUCCAGAUUAUACCGAUUACACCUUUGACUAUGGCAAUGAUUCAACAAUGAAUUAUGACAUGUACAUAAUUCUCAACCAAGAAAAAGAAACAGACGUAAAAGCAGUUGGUAGUGACGUGAACAAGGUUUCACAUGGAUUUUAUGCUGUAGUACUGGGACUGACAGUACAACAGUUCUGCCAACAAAUAUGAAUAGAGCUGAACACCAAAGGAUCUGAAGCCACAGCAAGAGACCAAUCUAGAUGUCCAGGCAAUGUACCAGAGGAUGCACCAUUUCCUUCAUCUUAAUCUUCAUUUUAUUGAAGGUUAUUUUUAACCGUAAAUAAAAAUUCAACACAAUGAAACCUCAGAAUGGUAUCACCUCAAAGAAUAUCAGCCCCCUGAAACGUGAAUCUGAAAUCUUUCUAUUUUUCACUGACACCAUGGGUUGGCUUCCUGCAAAUUGAUUAAGCCUAGUCCUCUUUAUAUAGGUUCCAUUCUGAAUGGAGAUUCUCCAUGGUAAGGAAAAUGUAGUCCAGGUUAUGGCUAAUGGGGUCAGUUUCCAGCGACUUUAUUGCAAAACUUUACUGGGCUAAGACAGGGUUCAAGAUCAUUGACAUAUACCUACAUAAACAUUUACAAAGACUUAUUCCAAAAAGCAUCAGCUAUCAUUACACUUUCUUAGGUAAAACUGAGUAAAACAGCCUUUAUGAUAACAGAUGCUUGUUGGAAUAUUCUUUUAUGAAUGUAAAGGUAGGUUUAGGUCAGCUGUCAUAAAAGGCUUAUGCAGAUGUCUUGUAGUCUUACAAAUGCUGCCCUUCAGUAAAGUGUUACUAAUAUUGUAGACAGGUAUGACUUUGUUUGACUAUGUAUUUGUUUCUUUAAGAAAUGCACCCAAAAACACCUAAAAACAAAAGGUGGAAGAAAAAAAAAACUAGGACAAGAAAGUCUUCAGGUGAUAGGAAACAAGAUUA
Molecule: long non-coding RNA, 1096 nt
Organism: Colossoma macropomum (tambaqui)
Lineage: Eukaryota; Metazoa; Chordata; Actinopteri; Characiformes; Serrasalmidae
Exons: 5
Source: RefSeq, a predicted model, not a curated record